CUGCACAAAGGUUUAGUUCAUUCGUUUGCUGACCCUGUGAUUAGUGACGUGGAAGAAAGAAUCAGAAGAUGUCGAUGAGAGGAAGGACACCCUGCAAUCAAGCUAAGAGGGCUCAAUAUCACUAUCCAUUUGGAUUAAAUGUCAGUGUGACCUUGCUUGGACAGAAUUAAUGUCUUUGGUGUAUUCUGUUUCCUUGAAGCUUAGC
This 205-nucleotide long non-coding RNA is filed under the name Homo sapiens (human). RNAcentral's name for it is "HSALNT0069174". The record is from RNAcentral. Lineage: Eukaryota; Metazoa; Chordata; Mammalia; Primates; Hominidae.